ACCUGUAAAGGUUCUUGCUCCAACACUGCAUCAUCACAAAAAGCAAUUUGAAGAGGAAAAAAAAUCAAAAGGAUUGCAAAGGGAAAGUUUCGGUACAAAGAUUGACUAGGAAAAACGUGCCUCUGAGAAAUUUUUUGUAGUUCCAUUUGGUUGCAGGAUGUAGA
This 164-nucleotide small RNA is filed under the name Arabidopsis thaliana (thale cress). RNAcentral describes it as "ATSL138930". Lineage: Eukaryota; Viridiplantae; Streptophyta; Magnoliopsida; Brassicales; Brassicaceae. The record is from RNAcentral.